Molecule: transfer RNA, 84 nt
Filed under: Candidatus Omnitrophota bacterium
Lineage: Bacteria; Pseudomonadati; Candidatus Omnitrophota
Description: tRNA-Leu
Rfam family: tRNA
About the family: Transfer RNA (tRNA) molecules are approximately 80 nucleotides in length. Their secondary structure includes four short double-helical elements and three loops (D, anti-codon, and T loops).
Source: RNAcentral
GCUGGGAUGGCGGAAUUGGUAUACGCGCUGGUCUCAAAAACCAGUGAGGGCGACCUCAUGAGAGUUCAAUUCUCUCUCCCAGCA